RNAcentral lists this ribosomal RNA (407 nucleotides) under uncultured bacterium. RNAcentral describes it as "partial 16S ribosomal RNA". It matches the Rfam family "Bacterial small subunit ribosomal RNA", at positions 30 to 526 of the family's 1533-position model. The record is from RNAcentral.
AUUGAACGCUGGCGGCAGGCCUAACACAUGCAAGUCGAGCGGAGCGGCGGACGGGUGAGUAAUGGCUAGGAAUGUGCCUGGUAGUGGGGGAUAACGUUCGGAAACGGGAGCUAAUACUGCAACCUAUCGGAUGAGCAUAGGCCGGAUUAGCUUGUUGGUGGGGUAAAGGCCUACCAAGGCGACGAUCCGUAACUGGUCUGAGAGGAUGAUCAGUCACACUGGAACUGAGACACGGUCCAGACUCCUACGGGAGGCAGCAGUGGGGAAUAUUGGACAAUGGGCGAAAGCCUGAUCCAGCCAUGCCGCGUGUGUGAAGAAGGUCUUCGGGUUGUAAAGCACUUUAAGUUGGGAGGCGUUACCAACAGAAGAAGCACCGGCUAACUUCGUGCCAGCAGCCGCGGUAAUAC